This 396-nucleotide ribosomal RNA is filed under the name uncultured bacterium. Its description in RNAcentral is "partial 16S ribosomal RNA". It matches the Rfam family "Bacterial small subunit ribosomal RNA", at positions 523 to 918 of the family's 1533-position model. The record is from RNAcentral.
AUACGUAGGGGGCGAGCGUUGUCCGGAAUGAUUGGGCGUAAAGGGCGCGUAGGCGGCCCGGUAAGUCUGGAGUGAAAGUCCUGUUUUUAAGAUGGGAAUUGCUUUGGAUACUGUCGGGCUUGAGUGCAGGAGAGGUAAGUGGAAUUCCCAGUGUAGCGGUGAAAUGCGUAGAGAUUGGGAGGAACACCAGUGGCGAAGGCGACUUACUGGACUGUAACUGACGCUGAGGCGCGAAAGUGUUGGGAGCAAACAGGAUUAGAUACCCUGGUAGUCCACGCUGUAAACGAUGAAUACUAGGUGUGGGGGGACUGACCCCCUCCGUGCCGCAGUUAACACAAUAAGUAUUCCACCUGGGGAGUACGAGCGCAAGAUUGAAACUCAAAGGAAUUGCCGGGG